AUACGGAGGAUGCGAGCGUUAUCCGGAUUUAUUGGGUUUAAAGGGAGCGUAGGCGGAAGCUUAAGUCAGCGGUUAAAUGGUGCGGCUCAACCGUGCCCUGCCGUUGAAACUGGGUUUCUUGAGAGUGCAAGAGGCGGAUGGAAUUCAUGGUGUAGCGGUGAAAUGCUUAGAUAUCAUGAAGAACUCCGAUUGCGAAGGCAGUCCGCUGGGGCACGUCUGACGCUGAUGCUCGAAGGUGCGGGAAUCAAACAGGAUUAGAUACCCUGGUAGUCCGCACGGUAAACGAUGAUUACCCGCUGUCGGCGGCAGACAGUCGGCGGCCAAGCGAAAGCGAUAAGUAAUCCACCUGGGGAGUACGCCGGCAACGGUGAAACUUAAAGGAAUUGACGGGG
Molecule: ribosomal RNA, 392 nt
Filed under: uncultured bacterium
Lineage: Bacteria
Description: partial 16S ribosomal RNA
Rfam family: Bacterial small subunit ribosomal RNA
Source: RNAcentral